AAUGAUUAAACCACAUCCACACUCCAUCCUUAAAGAGGUAAGAAGCUAAGCUAGCACAGAUGAUAGAUUUGGUAACCAUGGUGUCAGAAUUCUGGAUAAUUCCACUUUUAACCCUCCUCACCAUAUCUUUGACCAUCUAUCUCUUCACCAGAAACCCAAAUAACCAACAACCACCAUACCCACCAGGCCCAUUGGGCCUCCCAAUACUCGGAAACCUCCUCUCUUUAGACCCAGAACUCCACACUUAUUUCACCAAAUUGGCCCAAACCCACGGCCCAAUCUUCUCUCUUUGGCUCGGAACUCGGCUCGGCGUAGUCAUCUCCUCACCGGCUCAAGCCAAACAAAUACUCAAAGACCAUGACGUCAUCUUUGCUAACCGUGACGUACCCACCGCCGGAAAAGCCGCCACGUACGGCGGCGCCGACAUAGUGUGGUCCCCAUACGGCGCCACGUGGAGGCUGCUGAGGAAGGUGUGUGUCAGAGAGUUACUGAGCACCGCCACGCUGGAAGAAGUGUACGGUCUCCGUCGCCGGGAAAUCCGGCGCAUGAUCCGGGGACUGUCGGAGAAAGUGGGGACAACAAAAAUUAAUGUCGGUGAAGAGGUGUUCUCGGUGGUUAUGAGGGUGGUGACAGGGAUGUUGUGGGGUGGGACUGUGGUGGAGGAUGAGGAGAGAGAAAAUAUAGGUUUCGAGUUUCGGGCGGCGGUGAAGGAGAUGACGGAGUUGUUGGGUAUGCCGAAUGUAUCGGACUUUUUUCCGGGUUUGGAGCGGAUCGAUUUGCAAGGGAUAGUGAGGAGGAUGAAGAGGUGUGUUAAGUUGUUGGAUGGGAUUUUUGAUAAGGUGAUUGAUCAAAGGUUGAGGAUUGAUGAGAAAGGAAGGAAGAGAGAGAAGGAUUUUUUGGAGGUUUUGUUACAAAUGAAGGAGGAUUAUGAGGGUGAAAGUAGUGAUGAUAAGGUGUCAUUUUCUAUUACCCAUCUCAAAGCUUUGCUCAUGGAUAUGGUGGUUGGUGGAACUGACACUAGCUCAAACACAGUUGAACUUGCCAUGGCAGAAAUACUGAACAAACCGGAGGUGCUGAAGAAGAUCCAGCAAGAGCUGGACGCAGAGGUUGGCAGAGACAGCAUAGUGGAAGAGCAUCACAUCUUUAAACUCCCUUACCUACAAGCUGUCAUGAAAGAGGCACUGCGUUUGCACCCGGCACUACCUCUACUAGUCCCUCAUUGUCCGAGUGAGUCCUGUGUUGUUGGAGGCUAUACCAUUCAUAAGGGUUCCCGGAUCUUCAUCAAUGUUUGGGCUAUCCAUCGAGACCCUUCAGUAUGGACCGAUCCAUUAAAUUUUGUUCCUGAAAGGUUUCUGAAUUCUAAAUUUGACUUCAGUGGGAACGAUUUCAGUUACUUUCCCUUUGGCUCGGGUAGAAGGAUUUGUGCAGGAAUAGCAAUGGCUGAGAGGAUGGUACUGUUUUCACUAGCCUCACUAUUACAUUCCUUUGAUUGGAAAUUGCCCGAGGGAGAAGCUUUAGAUCUUGAGGAGAAGUUUGGGAUUGUCCUGAGCAAGAGAACGCCUCUCACAGUAAUUCCCGAGUGUAGGUUAUCUAGUCCAGCUCUGUAUGAAUGAAUCGUUUAACUCAGACUGCCUCUGUGUCCAUAAAACGAUCAACAGACUGUGGUGGUUCAGCUAUACAAGAAGAAGGCACUUAUCUAUAUUCUCAGGAUAUAAAUUUUGAAGCUCAUACAUAAAUGACUAAGGAUCCAAGUGGAGGUCGAUGUUUUGUAUGUGUAGACCUUCUUGUCUACCAUCAAUCCUCUAGAAGCUGCUUUGCUAUUCUGCAAGUUACGUUGUAGUAGUGAUUUGGACGUCGAGAGAGGUAUUGAUAAUUUGAUAAUUCCCUAAUGAUUAAUCAUAUAUAUUGGUUGAUUGGGGCGUUAGUAUGGUAAUGUUCAUCUUUUCAUUGUCUCAGCAAGUGGAUUGUCGUUUGUCAGUGGGGUCUUAUCAUCUCUUCCGCCCUCAAUUUUAUUGUAUGAUUACAUUGUCUAAACUCUGGUUUGGACUACAGAAAUUAAUCUGAACUUGAGUGUUGAAGGCCAAAUUGAAGCUUAAGUCUCAGCUCAAUGUCUUGUUGAGCUUUACUCCAAUAAAAAUUGCUAGAAAGUCAAAUUCUGAGUGCACAGAUGUGAAUGUUGUAGUUUUGACGUAUAAUAAGUAAGCUCUAUGCAUUAUUCUGUUCUUCUGUUGGUUGUCUUGAGUUUCAGGAAAUUCUCUAUUCAUAAUGUAGUUGUUGAUUUACAAAAAUUAAUUUUGCAAGUAGUUGUAUACUAACAGUUUACUGUCGAAUAUUAUUAUCUUGAUCCUCUAUUAACUACACUGAGCAGCUCAGUUGUGUUUGCCUUGGAAGUUUUCUUUUUUUUUCAUUCACUUUGAUCAGUUGAUGACACUAGCAAGAAGCAAAAUCCUCUUCUUUUUGAUGGGAAGAAGCAAUAUUCCUAAUCCUAAGGCAUAAUUUCAAUGAUGAAUGACUAAUACUCAGACCAUUAAGAUUUCAUAGCCAACCCACACACUUCGGCAUUAUAGAAAUUGACCACAUCCUUAACCAAGGGGCAUAUAUAUAAGUGAAGUUCAUCCUAACCUUUAAAAAAGAAACUAAAGUUCAUCCUUGAGCUGUGUGUUUCUCAGUUUCUUUCUUCGUUUAUUACAGGCAUAUAAUUAGAUGAUUAAUUAUGUGCAACAAGCUUGUUAUCUCUAGACGAGGUUUGCUAAUGCUACGGCUACCAGCAACACAUACCAUCUCUUCCCUAGUAUCUUUGUGAGAUCCCUUUUCUUUGGUCCUUUCAUCGCCAGUUCUCUGGCCUCUUCUAAAAUUCUCGAUAGCUAUUAUCUUCAGAAUCCGUGUAGUAAUAGACUGUAUCAUCAUUUUCAAUGCUGGUGUGGAGUGAUAUUAUCAUCAUCAUGAAACCGUCACUGAGUCUCAUCUUAAACA
Molecule: RNA transcript, 2973 nt
Organism: Beta vulgaris subsp. vulgaris (sugar beet)
Lineage: Eukaryota; Viridiplantae; Streptophyta; Magnoliopsida; Caryophyllales; Amaranthaceae
Gene name: flavonoid 3'-monooxygenase CYP75B137
Exons: 4
Source: RefSeq, a predicted model, not a curated record